CUUGAUCGAGCCGAGCAGCAGAGGCUGUUCGGGCGUGUGCUCCUGCCCGUACGUGGCGAGGAGGGCCUGCGCCUC
This 75-nucleotide antisense RNA is filed under the name Actinacidiphila glaucinigra. Its description in RNAcentral is "Streptomyces glauciniger ASpks TB sRNA". It matches the Rfam family "ASpks TB sRNA". The record is from Rfam by way of RNAcentral. Lineage: Bacteria; Bacillati; Actinomycetota; Actinomycetes; Kitasatosporales; Streptomycetaceae.